CUUCGCGUAGCUCAGUUGGUUAGAGCGUCGCACCGAGAGAAGCGAACGUCACGGGUUCAAAUCCCGUCGUGGAGC
This is a non-coding RNA of Cymbomonas tetramitiformis, 75 nucleotides long. The record is from the annotation of a GenBank genome assembly. Lineage: Eukaryota; Viridiplantae; Chlorophyta; Pyramimonadophyceae; Pyramimonadales; Pyramimonadaceae.